UACGGGGGGGGCAAGCGUUGUUCGGAAUUACUGGGCGUAAAGGGCUCGUAGGCGGCCAACUAAGUCGGACGUGAAAUCCCCAGGCUCAACCUGGGAACUGCGUCCGAUACUGGAUGGCUUGAAUUCGGGAGAGGGAAGCAGAAUUCCAGGUGUAGCGGUGAAAUGCGUAGAUAUCUGGAGGAAUACCGGUGGCGAAGGCGGCAUCCUGGACCGACAUUGACGCUGAGGAGCGAAAGCUAGGGGAGCAAACGGG
RNAcentral lists this ribosomal RNA (253 nucleotides) under uncultured bacterium. RNAcentral describes it as "partial 16S ribosomal RNA". It matches the Rfam family "Bacterial small subunit ribosomal RNA", at positions 524 to 776 of the family's 1533-position model. The record is from RNAcentral.